This 599-nucleotide ribosomal RNA is filed under the name Vibrio azureus. Its description in RNAcentral is "bacterial SSU rRNA". It matches the Rfam family "Bacterial small subunit ribosomal RNA", at positions 76 to 661 of the family's 1533-position model. The record is from RNAcentral. Lineage: Bacteria; Pseudomonadati; Pseudomonadota; Gammaproteobacteria; Vibrionales; Vibrionaceae.
ACCUUCGGGUGGAGCGAUAACGGCGUCGAGCGGCGGACGGGUGAGUAAUGCCUAGGAAAUUGCCCUGAUGUGGGGGAUAACCAUUGGAAACGAUGGCUAAUACCGCAUGAUGCCUACGGGCCAAAGAGGGGGACCUUCGGGCCUCUCGCGUCAGGAUAUGCCUAGGUGGGAUUAGCUAGUUGGUGAGGUAAGGGCUCACCAAGGCGACGAUCCCUAGCUGGUCUGAGAGGAUGAUCAGCCACACUGGAACUGAGACACGGUCCAGACUCCUACGGGAGGCAGCAGUGGGGAAUAUUGCACAAUGGGCGCAAGCCUGAUGCAGCCAUGCCGCGUGUGUGAAGAAGGCCUUCGGGUUGUAAAGCACUUUCAGUCGUGAGGAAGGUAGUGUAGUUAAUAGCUGCAUUAUUUGACGUUAGCGACAGAAGAAGCACCGGCUAACUCCGUGCCAGCAGCCGCGGUAAUACGGAGGGUGCGAGCGUUAAUCGGAAUUACUGGGCGUAAAGCGCAUGCAGGUGGUUUGUUAAGUCAGAUGUGAAAGCCCGGGGCUCAACCUCGGAAUAGCAUUUGAAACUGGCAGACUAGAGUACUGUAGAGGGGGG